This 398-nucleotide ribosomal RNA is filed under the name uncultured bacterium. Its description in RNAcentral is "partial 16S ribosomal RNA". It matches the Rfam family "Bacterial small subunit ribosomal RNA", at positions 523 to 918 of the family's 1533-position model. The record is from RNAcentral.
AUACGUAGGGUGCGAGCGUUGUCCGGAAUUACUGGGCGUAAAGAGCUCGUAGGUGGUUUGUCGCGUCGUCUGUGAAAUUCCGGGGCUUAACUCCGGGCGUGCAGGCGAUACGGGCAUAACUUGAGUACUGUAGGGGAGACUGGAAUUCCUGGUGUAGCGGUGAAAUGCGCAGAUAUCAGGAGGAACACCGGUGGCGAAGGCGGGUCUCUGGGCAGUAACUGACGCUGAGGAGCGAAAGCAUGGGUAGCGAACAGGAUUAGAUACCCUGGUAGUCCAUGCCGUAAACGGUGGGCGCUAGGUGUAGGGGUCUUCCACGACUUCUGUGCCGUAGCUAACACAUUAAGCGCCCCGCCUGGGGAGUACGGCCGCAAGGCUAAAACUCAAAGGAAUUGACGGGG